Molecule: non-coding RNA, 1820 nt
Organism: Drosophila kikkawai
Lineage: Eukaryota; Metazoa; Arthropoda; Insecta; Diptera; Drosophilidae
Source: RefSeq, a predicted model, not a curated record
AUCGUCGGCCAACGGCUUCAAAUGAACGCAAAACGUUGGAAAGCAAACAACCGCAAAAAAGCCAUCAGCUAAAAAUAAAACUGCAACUCCAGCGGUGUUUGGCCAUCUAGCCCAUAGAACAGUGCUCGCUAAUCGUGUGUCUAUAUGUAUUUGUGUAUCUCGUGUGUGAUUAAUCUCGCUGGGAGUCCGAAAUGAAAAGUUCAGAGGCAGAAAGUUCCGAAAGCGCAGCGUGAAACAGAUCUCGCCGGACGCCUUAACGCCGCCAUAAACACCAAAUAACGAAUUCUCGGCGACCUCCUCUGCAUUUGGCGUGGCCAGCAAACAAAUGUCGCAUGUCAAGGUCUUGUUAAAACGUGGAAAAUCCAUCCAUCCGUCCGCCCGAAGAGUCAACACGAGUGGCACGACUUUUUCAGCUGUCCCAAAAGCAAAGUUGCCCCCGAAAAAAAUAGCGUAGUCUGUGUGCUUGAGUGUGUGCGUGCCAUUGACAUUGACUUAUGCUUAAUAGGGGGACUCGCAGAGGGGGUAAGGGUAUCCACCCUUUGACGAAAAAACUUUGUUUUGUCGCUUUGCCAGCUCUGCUUUUGCCUCGUUUCUCUUCGCUUUCUGCCUUCCACGCACAUUUAUGGUUUGUUUUGCUCACACACAACCAAAGAACACAAGAAAGAGAGGGCCGUAGGCGGGAAGAAAGAGACAGAGGGAUAGAGAAUGAGAGAGAUGGAGCAGCUCAGUCGUCUGCGAUGAUAAACGCCUCCUUGCCUUUUUUGGCGGGUCGGUCCAUGAAUGAAAAAAUUGCCCCGAAUGACUGACUGCCAGACAGAUAGCUACAAAAUGCCCAUUUCGGGGGUUACCAGCGGGGGUUGCUGCGGUGGGCAGGGGGGCCAAGGGGGGCCGGAAAGCCGACAGCAAUAAACACCGAGCUACGACAAAAGUCUGAUGAGGCAGACAAUCAUGAAGUUCAUCAUGAGGCACGCGUUGAUGAAAAUGAAAAUGGUUUUCAUUUCGGGUUCGUUGCCGUUGCCGGUGCCGGCUUCUCUUCCAGCCUCAGUUUGCAUUCAGUGGGGCAGGUUAUUUAUGGCACUUCUCCCGAACGCCACACUGGGGUAAUCGAUUUUUAUUGGAUUAAUAUUGCCUUCCGCCUGACUUGUCACUCUUUUCUGCUCUUCGUUAUCUCUUUCGUAGGUUUUCACACUGAAGUAUGACGGGUCUGGACCAAGUGCUGGACAGCCGCCAGGAUAUAUGCACGGCAAAUGCCGGGAAUAAAGACACGUCUUAUGUGACAAGUGCAGGCUAAACGUCUGAGGUUAUCGCAAUCAUUUUCGAUUCUCUCCCCCCUCGGCUACUCGGUGGAAAAGCAACCACCGAAAAGGAAUAAAAGGACACAGGGCGACCGGAAGUGAGGAAAUCGCUUGUAAAAUCGGGCACACGAGUGCGAGCGAGACACGAGCGAACACGGCCCGAAAGGAAACGACAAUUACGAGGACAUGCCGGCUUCGCCUUUUGCUGUUUCUAUCCGUUCCUUUCAGUUGCGGCCGUGCAAUCGUCGGGUCAACAACGCGCCGUGUCCUGUCAGGAUCUCUAUCUGGAACUUUACCUUUAAAAUCACACAGCAGUCGCAGUAUCUAUAUCUGCAACUGCAGUCCUUUUUCGUGUCCUUUAUAAGCACUUGCGGAUGAUGAUGACUCUGUGCAACUUCGUAUACGUAUACUGAAUGUAUCCUGAGUGUAUCCUAUCCGGUAUACCUUCAGUAUACGUAACACGAGGAAACACAAGCAACGCGGGAUGUGAAACACUUGAAAAAAAUAUAUGACAUUGUGAUUUUA